Molecule: ribosomal RNA, 405 nt
Filed under: uncultured bacterium
Lineage: Bacteria
Description: bacterial SSU rRNA
Rfam family: Bacterial small subunit ribosomal RNA
Source: RNAcentral
AAUGGACGCAAGUCUGACCCAGCCAUGCCGCGUGCAGGAUGAAGGCCCUAUGGGUUGUAAACUGCUUUUCUACGGGAAGAAACUCCCCGACGUGUCGGGGACCGACGGUAUCGUAGGAAUAAGGAUCGGCUAACUCCGUGCCAGCAGCCGCGGUAAUACGGAGGAUCCAAGCGUUGUCCGGAUUUAUUGGGUUUAAAGGGUGCGUAGGCGGAUAAUUAAGUCAGUGGUGAAAGCCUUCAGCUUAACUGAAGAAUUGCCAUUGAAACUGAUUAUCUUGAAUGCGGUUGAGGCAGAUGGAAUGUAUCAUGUAGCGGUGAAAUGCUUAGAUAUGAUACAGAACACCGAUUGCGAAGGCAGUCUGCUAAGCCGUGAUUGACGCUGAGGCACGAAAGCGUGGGUAGCAAA